This 327-nucleotide ribosomal RNA is filed under the name uncultured eukaryote. RNAcentral's name for it is "partial 18S ribosomal RNA". It matches the Rfam family "Eukaryotic small subunit ribosomal RNA", at positions 1470 to 1796 of the family's 1831-position model. The record is from RNAcentral.
CCCUUAGAUGUUCUGGGCCGCCCACGCGCUACACUGAAGGAGGCAGCGUGUACUCCUGGAUCGAAAGAUUUGGGUAACCCGCGAAUCUCCUUCGUGCUAGGGAUUGAGGUUUGCAAUUAUCCUUCAUGAACGAGGAAUUCCCAGUAAGUGCAAGUCAUAAGCUUGCGCUGACUACGUCCCUGCCCUUUGUACACACCGCCCGUCGCUACUACCGAUUGAAUGAUUUAGUGAGGACUUCGGACUGGGACCGAUGCGGCUUUCGGGCUGCGUCGGUAUUCUGGAAAGAUGUCCAAACUGUAUCAUUUAGAGGAAGUAAAAGUCGUAACA